RNAcentral lists this ribosomal RNA (113 nucleotides) under uncultured bacterium. Its description in RNAcentral is "partial 16S ribosomal RNA". The record is from RNAcentral.
CCCGGGCCUUGUACCACACCGCCCGUCACGACCACGGAAAAGUUUGUUCAACCCGAAGCCGGCGAGCCAACCGCAAGGAGGCAACCGUCUAAGGUGGGCAGAUGAUUGGGGUG